Lingula anatina is the source of this 529-nucleotide long non-coding RNA. NCBI's taxonomy places the organism in Eukaryota, Metazoa, Brachiopoda, Lingulata, Lingulida, Lingulidae. The record is from RefSeq and is a predicted model, not a curated record.
CGUGUGAAAUGUAGUGAGGGCGUUCAGCAGUUGUGGAUUUGCAUAGGUUUGAAUGUAUUGUGUUGUAAAAUACUCUCAAGCGAAGAACUUGAUUUGUUUGGUCCACUUUGAUGUACACAGUACCGUUACUUUCAUUUCAUGCAAUUGCUCUGCUUGGUCCACUUUGAUUUGAGCAAUUUCAACUUGAAUUCAGUACCGUCACUUUCAUUUCAUGCAAUUGAUCUGCUUGGUCCACUUUGAUUUGAGCAAUUUCACCUUGAAUUCAGGUAAUUGGUUUGUUUAUCAUAAUUGAUACAAUUAAAGUCAAGUAACUGAUUUGCUUAGUAUAGUUUGAUAUCAGUAAUGUCACUUUGAAUUCUUGUAAUUGAUUUGCUUAGUACAGUUUGAUAUCAGUAAUGUCACUUUGAAUUCCUGUUAUUGAUCUGUUUGGUCCACUUUGAUUUGAGUAAUGUCUCUUUAAGCUCCUGUUAUUGAUCAUCUUUGUUGACUUUAAGUAAUGUCAAUUUCAUUUCAAGUAACUGAUUUGCUU